This 520-nucleotide ribosomal RNA is filed under the name uncultured Glomus. Its description in RNAcentral is "SSU rRNA". It matches the Rfam family "Eukaryotic small subunit ribosomal RNA", at positions 569 to 1091 of the family's 1831-position model. Lineage: Eukaryota; Fungi; Glomeromycota; Glomeromycetes; Glomerales; Glomeraceae. The record is from RNAcentral.
AGCAGCCGCGGUAAUUCCAGCUCCAAUAGCGUAUAUUAAAGUUGUUGUAGUUAAAAAGCUCGUAGUUGAAUUUCGGAAUCGACGGAUUGGUCGCGCCUUCGGUGUGUACUGGUCUUGCCGGUUUCUCCCUUCUGACGAACCACGAUGUCAUUAAUUUGGUGUCGCGGGGAAUCAGGACUGUUACUUUGAAAAAAUUAGAGUGUUUAAAGCAGGCAUUAGCUUGAAUACAUUAGCAUGGAAUAAUGAAAUAGGACGUUUGAUCUUAUUUUGUUGGUUUCUAGGAUCGACGUAAUGAUUAAUAGGGAUAGUUGGGGGCAUUAGUAUUCAAUUGUCAGAGGUGAAAUUCUUGGAUUUAUUGAAGACUAACUACUGCGAAAGCAUUUGCCAAGGAUGUUUUCAUUAAUCAAGAACGAAAGUUAGGGGAUCGAAGACGAUCAGAUACCGUCGUAGUCUUAACCAUAAACUAUGCCGACUAGGGAUCGGAUGAUGUUAAUUUUUAAUGACUCAUUCGGCGCCUUAC